GUUAUAUUCUGAAGGACAGAUAAAUAACAGUAAUGAUGAUUAAGAAAGAGGUAGCUGCCUACUUCCUUUCAAACCUUGCCAAAACAAAAGGUGGAAGAACUAAGAAGGACGCAAAUUGAAAGGAAAAGAAAGCAAAGUGGUAGAGGAUUUUGUCUCAUACAAAGACAAUACGUACAUCUUUCUUUGCCUCCCAAGUGAUAAUAUAGCUAUAUAGCACGAAUACAAAGGUAGCAUAAUAAGGUCGUUCUCAAUUUGCUGCCGUUUCUCAUCUUGUCUCGUGUCGUGCCCAUUUGCAGCCUUUUGACAAAGAGAAAAAAGCAUUUCUGUUUUGUCAUUGCCUCUUCACCAGGACCACAUCUAAAGUAAAAACAAGCCAAACCUAUCUCAUUGUAGACCCAAACCCUGCCAUUUAUCUUGUAAGGCACUUCAGUCCACACCCAUUUAAUCCUCUAAACCACCUGGGACCCAAGCUGUGGCAAAUACUGAGUUGUGACCCUUCCAUGUGAGCACCAACAUAUCUUCUUCUCUUUUCAUCCCCCAACCACUAGCAUGUUCAUCUAGUAAGGACUUGACUUCUCUAACAGUCUCUUCACAGAAUUGAACACUUAAACAACCAGCGUUCUUCAUCCUUUGUGAUAGUUUAAUGCCAGAUUCUAAUCUUUCUAUUCUUUGGAACCCAUCAUAACUGAUGAUAUUCUCAAUUUUGUGACCAAUAUCGGAUUCAUAUUCAAUCCUUUGGCAACUAUCUUUGGGAAGGAAAGUUUCUAAGGCAUCAAAUGGUAUCCAUAGAUAAUUGAAGCAACUAGUAAUCCUGGAAGUGAGACUUAGUGCACUUAAAUCAGAAUCCUCGUCGACGACAACUAUAAGACAAGGAUUAAGGCCUUUAAUGGUACGAAGAAAAUCAUCUCUUAGAGAAGAGUCUUGGACUCUUCCCUUUUGCUCAUCCGACAAAUAUCGUAGCCAAUUUUGGCAGUUUAUUACCAAGGCCUCAUCGUCCCUAAGGUCUAGCAAAGGAGUCAAGUGAUUCAAUAAUGACUCAAAAUGAAAACCAGAGGAUUCUUUGCACAUAAUUUCAGUUGAUGUAGAGGAAGAACAUCGGUCAUCAAUCACUUUGAAUUCAAAUGGCACAUCCCUGAACUUAGCGAAAUUGCCUAAACGAAGGCCAACUUCUUCAGUUGAUACGUUAAGCAAAGGAGGAACUGGU
This 1204-nucleotide unclassified non-coding RNA is filed under the name Hevea brasiliensis (rubber tree). Lineage: Eukaryota; Viridiplantae; Streptophyta; Magnoliopsida; Malpighiales; Euphorbiaceae. The record is from RNAcentral.